Small nucleolar RNA from Castor canadensis (American beaver), 132 nucleotides. NCBI's taxonomy places the organism in Eukaryota, Metazoa, Chordata, Mammalia, Rodentia, Castoridae. The record is from Ensembl.
CCCGAGACUAGAGUCACAUCCUGACACAGCACUUGUCCCGGUGUGCUAGAGUUCUCGGAGAGAAUCUGCUGGUCUUGAUUCACUGGUGGGGGGUGAUCAGUGCCCCUGUUAGUGCCCAGAUCAGAAACAGGC